Molecule: ribosomal RNA, 442 nt
Filed under: Corbicula sp. 17Chi6
Lineage: Eukaryota; Metazoa; Mollusca; Bivalvia; Venerida; Cyrenidae
Description: partial 16S ribosomal RNA
Rfam family: Bacterial large subunit ribosomal RNA
Source: RNAcentral
UUGGGGAUUUAUAUAAAAGGUUGGGCCUGCCCGGUGAUCUAAAAUGGUUUAACGGCUGCGAUUGAAACCGUACUAAGGUAGCAUAAUAAUUUGCCCUUUAAUUGGGGGAGAGAAUGAAUGGUUUGACGGUAAAAAAGCUGUUUUAAAAAUAAAAAAAGAAGUUAACUUUUAAGUGAAAAGGCUUAAGUUUUUAUAAAAGACGAGAAGACCCCGUCGAGCUUAAUUAGAAUAACUUAAAUGUAGGUUAUUUAAAAUUUUAUUGGGGCAAUAGAAAAUGAAAUGAAUCAUUUUUUUUAUUAUAAGGAUCCAGUUUUGACUGAAAAAAGCAAAAGCUACCGCGGGGAUAACAGGGUAAUUUUUUCUGAGAGUUCAUAUUUAAGAAGAAGUUUGCUACCUCGAUGUUGGAUUAGAAUUUCUUUAUGCUUGCAGCAGGUAUAAUAGU